AACGAACGCUGGCGGCAGGCCUAAUACAUGCAAGUCGAGCGAGAAGCCAUCUUCGGGUGGUGGAGAGCGGCGAACGGGUGAGUAACGCGUAGGUAUCUACCUAGUAGUGGGGAAUAACCAUUGGAAACGAUGGCUAAAACCGCAUACGCCCUGAGGGGGAAAACUGAGGUGCUAUUAGAGGAGCCUGCGUUAGAUUAGCUAGUUGGUGAGGUAAUGGCUCACCAAGGCGACGAUCUAUAGCUGGUUUGAGAGGAUGAUCAGCCACACCGGAACUGAGACACGGUCCGG
Molecule: ribosomal RNA, 288 nt
Filed under: uncultured bacterium
Lineage: Bacteria
Description: partial 16S ribosomal RNA
Rfam family: Bacterial small subunit ribosomal RNA
Source: RNAcentral